CUCAAAUGAAUUGACGGGGGCCCGCACAAGCGGUGGAGCAUGUGGUUUAAUUCGAUGCAACGCGAAGAACCUUACCUGGUCUUGACAUCCAUGGAAUCCUUCAGAGAUGAGGGAGUGCCGGUUUACCGGAACCAUGAGACAGGUGCUGCAUGGCUGUCGUCAGCUCGUGUCGUGAGAUGUUGGGUUAAGUCCCGCAACGAGCGCAACCCUUGCCUUUAGUUGCCAGCAGUUCGGCUGGGCACUCUAAAGGGACUGCCGGUGUUAAACCGGAGGAAGGUGGGGAUGACGUCAAGUCCUCAUGGCCUUUAUGACCAGGGCUACACACGUACUACAAUGGCCGAUACAAAGGGCAGCGACACUGCGAGGUGAAGCCAAUCCCGUAAAAUCGGUCUCAGUCCGGAUUGGAGUCUGCAACUCGACUCCAUGAAGUUGGAAUCGCUAGUAAUCGUGGAUCAGCAUGCCACGGUGAAUACGUUCCCGGGCCUU
Molecule: ribosomal RNA, 486 nt
Filed under: uncultured Desulfobulbus sp.
Lineage: Bacteria; Pseudomonadati; Thermodesulfobacteriota; Desulfobulbia; Desulfobulbales; Desulfobulbaceae
Description: bacterial SSU rRNA
Rfam family: Bacterial small subunit ribosomal RNA
Source: RNAcentral